RNAcentral lists this microRNA precursor (100 nucleotides) under Marmota monax (woodchuck). The record is from RNAcentral. Lineage: Eukaryota; Metazoa; Chordata; Mammalia; Rodentia; Sciuridae.
AAAGGGAUAGCUGGGUCAUAUGGUUCCAUUCCUAGUCUUUUGAGGAAUCUCCAUACUGCUUUCCAAAGAGGUUGUACUAAUUUGCAGUCCUACCGACAAU